AGUGAACGCUGGCGGUAGGCCUAACACAUGCAAGUCGAACGGCAGCACAGUAAGAGCUUGCUCUUACGGGUGGCGAGUGGCGGACGGGUGAGGAAUACAUCGGAAUCUACUUUUUCGUGGGGGAUAACGUAGGGAAACUUACGCUAAUACCGCAUACGACCUACGGGUGAAAGCAGGGGAUCUUCGGACCUUGCGCGAUUGAAUGAGCCGAUGUCGGAUUAGCUAGUUGGCGGGGUAAAGGCCCACCAAGGCGCCGAUCCGUAGCUGGUCUGAGAGGAUGAUCAGCCACACUGGAACUGAGACACGGUCCAGACUCCUACGGGAGGCAGCAGUGGGGAAUAUUGGACAAUGGGCGCAAGCCUGAUCCAGCCAUACCGCGUGGGUGAAGAAGGCCUUCGGGUUGUAAAGCCCUUUUGUUGGGAAAGAAAAGCAGCAGGUUAAUACCCCGCUGUUCUGACGGUACCCAAAGAAUAAGCACCGGCUAACUUCGU
This 491-nucleotide ribosomal RNA is filed under the name uncultured bacterium. RNAcentral describes it as "partial 16S ribosomal RNA". It matches the Rfam family "Bacterial small subunit ribosomal RNA", at positions 29 to 506 of the family's 1533-position model. The record is from RNAcentral.